CAGCGGGUGGAAGUCCCGCCCGGGUAAGCGCCGGAGCGCCCGGUAGCAGGGUCCAGUCGCGAUUCGAGAGGGUCGUGGCCGAGCGGACCGUCGAGAGCCUCAUAGGAGGGAGCAACGAAGCAGGCCGCAACACAG
Betaproteobacteria bacterium is the source of this 135-nucleotide non-coding RNA. Lineage: Bacteria; Pseudomonadati; Pseudomonadota; Betaproteobacteria. The record is from Rfam.